RNAcentral lists this ribosomal RNA (253 nucleotides) under uncultured bacterium. RNAcentral's name for it is "partial 16S ribosomal RNA". It matches the Rfam family "Bacterial small subunit ribosomal RNA", at positions 524 to 776 of the family's 1533-position model. The record is from RNAcentral.
GACGUAGGGCGCGAGCGUUGUCCGGAUUUAUUGGGCGUAAAGAGCUCGUAGGCGGCUUGUUGCGUCGACCGUGAAAACUUGGGGCUUAACCUUAAGCUUGCGGUUGAUACGGGCAGGCUAGAGUUCGGUAGGGGAGACUGGAAUUCCUGGUGUAGCGGUGAAAUGCGCAGAUAUCAGGAGGAGCACCAAUGGCGAAGGCAGCUCGCUGGGACGGUACUGACGCUGAGACGCGAAAGCGUGGGGAGCAAACAGG